GACGAACGCUGGCGGCGUGCCUAAUACAUGCAAGUAGGACGCAGUUGCGAACGGGUGAGUAACGCGUAGGUAACUGCCUAUUAGAGGGGGAUAACUAUUGGACACGAUAGCUAAUACCGCAUACUAGUAGAUGGACCUGCGUUGUAUUAGCUAGGAGGUAGGGUAAUGGCCUACCUAGGCAACGCUACAUAGCCGACCUGAGAGGGUGAUCGGCCACACGGGGACUGGGACACGGACCAGACUCCCACGGGAGGCAGCAGUAGGGAAUCUUCGGCAAUGGGGGGAACCCUGACCGAGCAACGCCGGGGUAGUGGAGAAGGUUUUCGGAUCGUAAAGCGCUGUUGUUAAGGAAGCGGUACUUAACCAGAAAGGGACGGCUAACUACGUGCCAGCAGCCGCGGUAAUUC
RNAcentral lists this ribosomal RNA (407 nucleotides) under uncultured bacterium. Its description in RNAcentral is "partial 16S ribosomal RNA". It matches the Rfam family "Bacterial small subunit ribosomal RNA", at positions 28 to 526 of the family's 1533-position model. The record is from RNAcentral.